GACGAACGCUGGCGGCGUGCUUAACACAUGCAAGUCGAACGGAAAGGCCCUGCUUUUGUGGGGUGCUCGAGUGGCGAACACGUGUGUAUCACGCGUGUAUCCUGCCCUUUACUUUGGGGUAUCUUCAGGAAAAUGGGGCUCUUAUCGGAUAGGAGCUCCUGCUGCAUGGUGGGGGUUGGAAAGUUUCGGCGGUUGGGGAUGGACUGGCGGCUUAUCAGCUGGUUGGUGGGGUAGUGGCUUACCAAGGCUUUGACGGGUAGCCGGCCCGAGCGGGUGACCGGCCACAGUGGGACUGAGAUACGGCCCAGACUCCUACGGGAGGCAGCAGUGGGGAGUAUUGCACAAUGGGCGGAGGCCUGAUGCAGCAACGCCGCGUGCGGGAUGACGGCCUUCGGGUUGUAAACCGCGUUCGCCUGUGACGAAGCGUGAGUGACGGUAAUGUGUAAAGAAGCACCGGCUAACUACGUG
This 468-nucleotide ribosomal RNA is filed under the name uncultured bacterium. RNAcentral describes it as "partial 16S ribosomal RNA". It matches the Rfam family "Bacterial small subunit ribosomal RNA", at positions 28 to 507 of the family's 1533-position model. The record is from RNAcentral.